RNAcentral lists this long non-coding RNA (465 nucleotides) under Sinocyclocheilus anshuiensis. Its description in RNAcentral is "lncRNA (ENSSANG00000027972.1)". Lineage: Eukaryota; Metazoa; Chordata; Actinopteri; Cypriniformes; Cyprinidae. The record is from RNAcentral.
UCUCAUGUAUUUACUGUAGGCAUGGAAGAUCGAGCAGGAAAGAUUAAAGGAGGACGAACAAUCCAAAAAGACUAAGAAAGAAAAAGGAGGAAAAGCAACACCGAAAGUAGGAGAGAGAAUCGACUCAGUAAAGGAAAACAAGAAGACUCCGCUGUCCUCAAAAAAGAGUAGAGACAACAUGUCCAAAACACCCAGCUCGGCUACACUACAUAGAGACAAGACCAGAGACAUGCUAGAGACGCCUCAAGAACCAGCAAAUGAGAUUAGAACAAAUGUUUUCACAGGCUACAGUUUAAAUGGAAAACUGGUACAGGUUGCUGGCAAAGUUCAGUCUCUCUAUCCCUGUGAUGGAGGACAAAUUGAUGUGGAGAGUUUUCACUUCACACAAGGGCUGACACAAGUGAAAGUAUGUGUAAACAAGGAUGGCCAUCACUUCUACACACACAUUUCAGAGAGAAAAAAAGA